This 343-nucleotide unclassified non-coding RNA is filed under the name soil metagenome. RNAcentral's name for it is "partial contains 5.8S ribosomal RNA, internal transcribed spacer 2, and large subunit ribosomal RNA". The stretch from base 1 to 120 matches the Rfam family "5.8S ribosomal RNA", at positions 35 to 154 of the family's 154-position model. The record is from RNAcentral.
GAUGAAGAACGUAGCGAAAUGCGAUAAGUAGUGUGAAUUGCAGAAUUCAGUGAAUCAUCGAAUCUUUGAACGCACAUUGCGCCCGCCAGUAUUCUGGCGGGCAUGCCUGUUCGAGCGUCAUUUCAACCCUCAGGACCCUUUGGACCUGGUGUUGGGGCUCGGCCGCUACCCCGCGGCCGUCCCCGAAAGAUAGUGGCGGUCUCGCUGUAGCGUCCUCUGCGUAGUAAUUACACCUCGCACUGGAACGCGGCGCGGCCACGCCGUUAAACACCCCACUUCUCAAGGUUGACCUCGGAUCAGGUAGGAAUACCCGCUGAACUUAAGCAUAUCAAUAAGCGGAGGA